Molecule: unclassified non-coding RNA, 331 nt
Filed under: soil metagenome
Description: partial contains 5.8S ribosomal RNA, internal transcribed spacer 2, and large subunit ribosomal RNA
Rfam family: 5.8S ribosomal RNA (bases 1-120)
Source: RNAcentral
GAUGAAGAACGUAGUGAAAUGCGAUAAGUAAUGUGAAUUGCAGAAUUCAGUGAAUCAUCGAAUCUUUGAACGCACAUUGCGCCCCCUGGUAUUUCGGGGGGCAUGCCUGUUCGAGCGUCAUUUCACCACUCAAGCCUCGCUUGGUAUUGGGCAACGCGGUCCGCCGCGUGCCUCAAAUCGACCGGCUGGGUCUUCUGUCCCCUAAGCGUUGUGGAAACUAUUCGCUAAAGGGUGCUCGGGAGGCUACGCCGUAAAACAAACCCAUUUCUAAGGUUGACCUCGGAUCAGGUAGGGAUACCCGCUGAACUUAAGCAUAUCAAUAAGCGGAGGA